Molecule: ribosomal RNA, 384 nt
Filed under: uncultured bacterium
Lineage: Bacteria
Description: bacterial SSU rRNA
Rfam family: Bacterial small subunit ribosomal RNA
Source: RNAcentral
GACGAACGCUGGCGGCGUGCUUAACACAUGCAAGUCGAGCGGUAAGGCCCUUUCGGGGGUACACGAGCGGCGAACGGGUGAGUAACACGUGGGUGACCUGCCCUUAGCUCUGGGAUAAGCCUGGGAAACUGGGUCUAAUACCGGAUAUGACUCCAUGACGCAUGUUGUGGGGUGGAAAGCCUUGUGCGGCUAGGGAUGGGCCCGCGGGCCUAUCAGCUUGUUGGUGGGGUGAUGGCCACCAAGGCGACGACGGGUAGCCGGCCUGAGAGGGCGACCGGCCACACUGGGACUGAGACACGGCCCAGACUCCUACGGGAGGCAGCAGUGGGGAAUCUUGCGCAAUGGGCGAAAGCCUGACGCAGCGACGCCGCGUGGGGAUGACGG